AAAUUGAAGAGUUUGAUCAUGGCUCAGAUUGAACGCUGGCGGCAGGCCUAACACAUGCAAGUCGAACGGUAACAGGAAGCAGCUUGCUGCUUCGCUGACGAGUGGCGGACGGGUGAGUAAUGUCUGGGAAACUGCCUGAUGGAGGGGGAUAACUACUGGAAACGGUGGCUAAUACCGCAUAACGUCGCAAGACCAAAGAGGGGGACCUUCGGGCCUCUUGCCAUCAGAUGUGCCCAGAUGGGAUUAGCUAGUUGGUGAGGUAACGGCUCACCAAGGCGACGAUCCCUAGCUGGUCUGAGAGGAUGACCAGCCACACUGGAACUGAGACACGGUCCAGACUCCUACGGGAGGCAGCAGUGGGGAAUAUUGCACAAUGGGCGCAAGCCUGAUGCAGCCAUGCCGCGUGUAUGAAGAAGGCCUUCGGGUUGUAAAGUACUUUCAGCGGGGAGGAAGGUGUUGCGGUUAAUAACCGCAGCAAUUGACGUUACCCGCAGAAGAAGCACCGGCUAACUCCGUGCCAGCAGCCGCGGUAAUACGGAGGGUGCAAGCGUUAAUCGGAAUUACUGGGCGUAAAGCGCACGCAGGCGGUCUGUCAAGUCGGAUGUGAAAUCCCCGGGCUCAACCUGGGAACUGCAUUCGAAACUGGCAGGCUUGAGUCUUGUAGAGGGGGGUAGAAUUCCAGGUGUAGCGGUGAAAUGCGUAGAGAUCUGGAGGAAUACCGGUGGCGAAGGCGGCCCCCUGGACAAAGACUGACGCUCAGGUGCGAAAGCGUGGGGAGCAAACAGGAUUAGAUACCCUGGUAGUCCACGCCGUAAACGAUGUCUACUUGGAGGUUGUGCCCUUGAGGCGUGGCUUCCGGAGCUAACGCGUUAAGUAGACCGCCUGGGGAGUACGGCCGCAAGGUUAAAACUCAAAUGAAUUGACGGGGGCCCGCACAAGCGGUGGAGCAUGUGGUUUAAUUCGAUGCAACGCGAAGAACCUUACCUGGUCUUGACAUCCACAGAA
Molecule: ribosomal RNA, 1005 nt
Filed under: Salmonella enterica subsp. enterica serovar Newport
Lineage: Bacteria; Pseudomonadati; Pseudomonadota; Gammaproteobacteria; Enterobacterales; Enterobacteriaceae
Description: bacterial SSU rRNA
Rfam family: Bacterial small subunit ribosomal RNA
Source: RNAcentral